AUUUCAAGAAACCUUUCAAAGGUUCUGGAGGCACUAAGGUUGAAAAACCUGGUUCUAAGUACUAUUGUACUCACUGUGAGGUUCCAGGUCAUAGUGUUGAUAGGUGUUUCAAAAUCCAUGGCUAUCCAACCAAUUUCAAAGGGUUCAAAGAUAAACGAGUUGAUGUUAUAUCUACUCAUAAAGAAACUGUUGCUAUGGAUGUUGAUGAUUCCACAACAAGAAUCCGCCUUUUUAGCGUCUGCAUUUAGCGUCCGACGAUACAAGCGGACGGUAAAUUUAAAAUUAGCGUCCGAUUAAAGACAGAUGCAAAUUAGCGUCCGCUUUUUGAGAUUUAGCGUCCGUUUAAAAAAACGGACGCUAAGUAGCGUCCGUUUAGUUAAAAUACCGUCCGUUAGACGGACGCUAAAUAAGAGGUAUAAAUAAAAAAAAAAAAACCUCCAGUCGACCAAAUUAUCAACCCUAACACACGCCUCUCUCUUCCUCACUCUCAUCUCCCGUUUCUCUCUCUUCCUCACUCUCAUCUCACAUUUUGGUGCUCUCCUUUCUUGUAGAUCUCACGAAAUCAGAUACUGCUGGAGCAAGGAGCCAUUAGCAGCAUCUUUGAGUGCAUGCAGGAUUACCAAGUUACAGGAAUGAUUAUAGUAUUGGGGGUUAUGAGAUUUGCAUUUGAGUUCCAGAUUUGAAGUUGGUUUUGAUCCAAAUACCAGAUACCAGAUUUGAAGUCCGUUUUGGUUCUAGAUUUUUGUUGAGUUUAAAGUGUACAUGUAAUUAUAUGAGAUUUGUAUUAGAUUUUGUUCUAAGUAUACUAGAAUUUAGUUCUAGAAUUAUUUUUUCACUUGUAUCUACAUUUAUUAUUAAUAAUAAUUGAAUUGAUUAA
This is a long non-coding RNA of Beta vulgaris subsp. vulgaris (sugar beet), 877 nucleotides long. RefSeq lists it as uncharacterized. NCBI's taxonomy places the organism in Eukaryota, Viridiplantae, Streptophyta, Magnoliopsida, Caryophyllales, Amaranthaceae. The record is from RefSeq and is a predicted model, not a curated record. The transcript is spliced from 3 exons.